This 572-nucleotide ribosomal RNA is filed under the name uncultured bacterium. RNAcentral's name for it is "partial 16S ribosomal RNA". It matches the Rfam family "Bacterial small subunit ribosomal RNA", at positions 355 to 920 of the family's 1533-position model. The record is from RNAcentral.
UGGGGAAUUUUGGACAAUGGGGGAAACCCUGAUCCAGCCAUCCCGCGUGUGCGAUGAAGGCCUUCGGGUUGUAAAGCACUUUUGGCAGGAAAGAAACGUCGCGGGUUAAUACCCCGCGGAACUGACGGUACCUGCAGAAUAAGCACCGGCUAACUACGUGCCAGCAGCCGCGGUAAUACGUAGGGUGCAAGCGUUAAUCGGAAUUACUGGGCGUAAAGCGUGCGUAGGCGGUUCGGAAAGAAAGAUGUGAAAUCCCAGAGCUUAACUUUGGAACUGCAUUUUUAACUACCGGGCUAGAGUGUGUCAGAGGGAGGUGGAAUUCCGCGUGUAGCAGUGAAAUGCGUAGAUAUGCGGAGGAACACCGAUGGCGAAGGCAGCCUCCUGGGAUAACACUGACGCUCAUGCACGAAAGCGUGGGGAGCAAACAGGAUUAGAUACCCUGGUAGUCCACGCCCUAAACGAUGUCAACUAGCUGUUGGGGUCUUCGGACCUUGGUAGCGCAGCUAACGCGUGAAGUUGACCGCCUGGGGAGUACGGUCGCAAGAUUAAAACUCAAAUGAAUUGACGGGGUC